AAUUAUAUAGUCUAAGUAGGAUAUUAAAUUGCAAAUUUAAUGGUAAAUUUUUAUUUUAUAAUUU
This 64-nucleotide transfer RNA is filed under the name Curculionoidea sp. 2 KM-2017. RNAcentral's name for it is "tRNA-Cys". The record is from RNAcentral. Lineage: Eukaryota; Metazoa; Arthropoda; Insecta; Coleoptera.